RNAcentral lists this ribosomal RNA (382 nucleotides) under uncultured organism. RNAcentral describes it as "bacterial SSU rRNA". It matches the Rfam family "Bacterial small subunit ribosomal RNA", at positions 367 to 762 of the family's 1533-position model. The record is from RNAcentral.
CGCAAUGGGCGAAGGCCUGACGGAGCGACGCCGCGUGAUUGAUGAAGAGCUUCGGUUUGUAAAGAUCUUUUAUGGGGGAAGAAGUUUAUUGACGGUACCCCAUGAAUAAGGACCUGCAAAACUCGUGCCAGCAGCAGCGGUAAUACGAGUGGUCCAAGCAUUAUCCGGAAUUAUUGGGCGUAAAGGGUAUGUAGGUGGUUAUAUUAGUCUUCUGUUUAACCCCCAGGCUCAACCUGGGAAGGGCAGAGGAAACGGUAUGACUAGAGGUUGUGAGGGGUGUACAGAACUCAUGGUGUAGGGGUGAAAUCCGUUGAUAUCAUGGGGAAUACCAAAAGCGAAGGCAGUACACUGGCACACACCUGACUUUUAUAUACGAAAGCGU